ACGCUGGCGGCAGGCCUAACACAUGCAAGUCGAGCGGUAGAGAGAAGCUUGCUUCUCUUGAGAGCGGCGGACGGGUGAGUAAUGCCUAGGAAUCUGCCUGGUAGUGGGGGAUAACGUUCGGAAACGGACGCUAAUACCGCAUACGUCCUACGGGAGAAAGCAGGGGACCUUCGGGCCUUGCGCUAUCAGAUGAGCCUAGGUCGGAUUAGCUAGUUGGUGGGGUAAUGGCUCACCAAGGCGACGAUCCGUAACUGGUCUGAGAGGAUGAUCAGUCACACUGGAACUGAGACACGGUCCAGACUCCUACGGGAGGCAGCAGUGGGGAAUAUUGGACAAUGGGCGAAAGCCUGAUCCAGCCAUGCCGCGUGUGUGAAGAAGGUCUUCGGAUUGUAAAGCACUUUAAGUUGGGAGGAAGGGCAGUAAAUUAAUACUUUGCUGUUUUGACGUUACCGACAGAAUAAGCACCGGCUAACUCUGUGCCAGCAGCCGCGGUAAUACAGAGGGUGCAAGCGUUAAUCGGAAUUACUGGGGCGUAAAGCGCGCGUAGGUGGUUCGUUAAGUUGGAUGUGAAAUCCCCGGGCUCAACCUGGGAACUGCAUUCAAAACUGACGAGCUAGAGUAUGGUAGAGGGUGGUGGAAUUUCCUGUGUAGCGGU
Molecule: ribosomal RNA, 655 nt
Filed under: uncultured bacterium
Lineage: Bacteria
Description: bacterial SSU rRNA
Rfam family: Bacterial small subunit ribosomal RNA
Source: RNAcentral